Molecule: ribosomal RNA, 253 nt
Filed under: uncultured bacterium
Lineage: Bacteria
Description: partial 16S ribosomal RNA
Rfam family: Bacterial small subunit ribosomal RNA
Source: RNAcentral
UACGUAGGGGGCGAGCGUUGUCCGAAGUUACUGGGCGUAAAGCGCGCGUAGGCGGGUUGGCAAGUCUGCUGUGAAAGCCCGGAGCUCAACUCCGGAGGGUCGGUGGAUACUGCCAGUCUUGAAGUGGCUAGGGGGAGAUGGAAUUACCGGUGUAGCGGUGAAAUGCGUAGAGAUCGGUAGGAACACCAGUGGCGAAGGCAGGUCUCUGGGCAUUAACUGACGCUGAGGAGCGAAAGCGUGGGGAGCGAACAGG